RNAcentral lists this long non-coding RNA (1165 nucleotides) under Strigops habroptila (Kakapo). RNAcentral's name for it is "lncRNA (ENSSHBG00005011690.1)". Lineage: Eukaryota; Metazoa; Chordata; Aves; Psittaciformes; Psittacidae. The record is from RNAcentral.
GUAAGCAGUUCCCUCCACAUUGCAUCUGUACCAAGGGACGUUACUUGUUCUUUAGGAGAUGAGUUCCUCAGCAGCAGCGGGUUGGGGGGAACAAAACAGUGUUGAGAUGUUUUUCUGGCCACAGCAUCUCCUUGGGGGAUGCAUGUUUUUAACUUGUUCGUAGACCAGUUGUCCACUCAGGGGUUCUGCAACACUUCCAGCCCAGAAGACAGCUAUAAAUUCAUCUUUAAAUCUAGUCACAGGAAAGACUUUCCAGCUGGAGAAUGCGUUACUAAAUGUACACAGACUUUUACAGAAGUCUUAAUCGGAAAAGCUAAGUUUAUUACAGGCAUAGAAGCAUCAAGAGGCAGCUUCUUAACAAAGAGCAGGAUGUUUGAACAGUAACUGGUGGAAGAUGAUUUCCACUGGCUGUAGGAGCUUGAGGAAUUGUUUAAUCUACUUAUGCUUGAAACCCAGGGAAGCUUGAUCCCUAGUGUUUAUACAUCAUACUACUAUGCUGUAGCUGUAAACGUUCUAAUAUGGAUAUAUGCAGCUUGUAAGCUGUAACUUUUCAAGUUCUACCUUCAUUACUUCCUAUUAAUAAAAGAACAUCUAAAUAGUGGACAAACUGCACUAGUGGUAGUUUCCCACGUGCAGUAUUCACAAUCAGCUGGGUCUCUGUGGCCGUCUCUGGGGUUAAAGAGGGGUUCUGAACACUCGGGCUGAACAGUUAAUCCCACACUUCUGGUGUUCAGAUCCCGCUGCAAAGAGUGUCUUAGUUAUUUUUUUUUCCUGCACCUAAGCCAGAAUAAUCUGCAAACUCUGUCCCAUCUGUGAAUUUUGCAUUUUAGCACUUGCACUAUUACCAGCUACUUCUGCUGAGUAACACUUAAAAAUGGUAUUCUUGGACCUCCAAAGCCUAACUGUGACCCCCUGCAAGGAACCUCGUGGUAAGUUGUAAGUAGCAUGGCUUUCAUUUUGUUUCCAUUGUCCAGGGGUAGGUUUUGUCAGGCUGCUGGGCAGUGCUGGGUAGUCUUUGCUGAUAAUUUUAGCAUUCUUCACCCUCAGACAAAAUCCCUGACAAUUUUGGAGUAAUUUUCAAGUUCUAGUCAUAUUUUCUACUUGCUUUGCAUACUCUAUAGUGUUUAUAAGUGAGUAAAUAAACUACUGUUGAAAAUGUAACAAA